UGAAGGAACAUUUAGCGGUCUGCAGACCUA
RNAcentral lists this non-coding RNA (30 nucleotides) under Mus musculus (house mouse). Lineage: Eukaryota; Metazoa; Chordata; Mammalia; Rodentia; Muridae. The record is from RNAcentral.